This 400-nucleotide transfer-messenger RNA is filed under the name Patescibacteria group. RNAcentral's name for it is "UM-FILTER-37-12 sp002793015 Standard tmRNA". It matches the Rfam family "transfer-messenger RNA". Rfam says of the family: Bacterial tmRNA, also known as 10Sa RNA or SsrA, is named for its dual tRNA and mRNA-like properties. Its role is to liberate the mRNA from a stalled ribosome. To accomplish this part of the tmRNA is used as a reading frame that ends in a translation stop signal. RNAcentral also lists the same sequence under 1 other name. The record is from RNAcentral.
GGGGAUGACAGGAUUCGAUACAUGGAUUCAUGUUGCCUCUCAUAUGCAUGUCGAGGCGGUCUAGCCCUCGUAAAUCACUCUAGACAAUCUACAAGUGCAAACCUUGUAAGUCGAGUAAAGGCCGUAUUUGCUAACGCAUUUACAAUGCCAACACUCGCAACUGCUGUCGCUUAAGUGCCCCAGCCAUCAUAACUUCGAUACUCAAUAGAAGAGCUAUGGUGUAAACUAAUUGAGCGUAGGCCUAGAGCAUCUCCUGUUGUUCUAGUCUGAAAUAAUUCAGGAUUAGUAUCUACUUAUUUUGUUGCUUUUUCAGGUAGAUAUGAAACAACAAAGCAACUGAACAUGAAGAUUAUGAAGACAACCUGUGUAGACCCGGGUUCAACUCCCGGCAUCUCCACUU